AUGGCCGAGGAGGCGCAGGCGCUGGGGUUGGCUCUGGGUCUGGGAACCGAAAGCUCGCCGGGGACGACGUUGGUCGAGGACUCGGUGACUCGUGCGGGGGCGUCCAGGCGGCGCAGGUCGCCCCGUCUGGAGCGCGCGCGCCGGCAGGCCAUGUCCGUGCUCUUCGACGAGCUGGGCGCGCUGCUCCCCGACCUCCCCCACCGGGCGUGCAAGGCGGACAUCGUCGACGGGGCCAUCGCGUACGUCAGGGCGCUGGAGGACACGGCCGCCGAGCUCGAGGCGCACAGGGCGAUGUCGGCCGGGCGGAGCCGCCGCGCGCGCCACGGCGGCGGUGCCGCCGAGGUCGUCGUGGCGGGGGAGACGUCGUGCUUCGCCGUCCGGCUGCGCGCGGCAAGGCCGGGCGCGCUCACGCGCGUGCUCCAGGUGUUCCAGCGGCACCGCGUGCCCGUCCUGGCGACCACCGUCUCGCGAAACGGCGGGGAGGCAGCGGUCACGGUCACCACGGCGGUGGUGGCACCGGCGGUCGCGGGGAAGAUCGAGGCAGAUAUUAUUAGCAGCAAUGCGUGA
RNAcentral lists this ribosomal RNA (567 nucleotides) under Triticum aestivum (bread wheat). Its description in RNAcentral is "partial small subunit ribosomal RNA". Lineage: Eukaryota; Viridiplantae; Streptophyta; Magnoliopsida; Poales; Poaceae. The record is from RNAcentral.